RNAcentral lists this ribosomal RNA (436 nucleotides) under uncultured bacterium. RNAcentral describes it as "SSU rRNA". It matches the Rfam family "Bacterial small subunit ribosomal RNA", at positions 26 to 518 of the family's 1533-position model. The record is from RNAcentral.
AGAACGAACGCUGGCGGCAGGCUUAACACAUGCAAGUCGAACGCCCCGCAAGGGGAGUGGCAGACGGGUGAGUAACGCGUGGGAACAUGCCUUUCGGUUCGGAAUAGCUCCGGGAAACUGGGAUUAAUACCGGAUACGUCCUUCGGAGAAGAUUAUCGCCGAAGAUGGCCGCGUCUGAUUAGCUAGUUGGCGGUGUAAUGGACCACCAAGGCGACGAUCAGUAGCUGGUCUGAGAGGAUGAUCAGCCACAUUGGGACUGAGACACGGCCCAAACUCCUACGGGAGGCAGCAGUGGGGAAUAUUGGACAAUGGGCGCAAGCCUGAUCCAGCCAUGCCGCGUGAGUGAUGAAGGCCUUAGGGUUGUAAAGCUCUUUCGACGGGGACGAUAAUGACGGUACCCGUAGAAGAGCCCCGGCUAACUCGUGCCAGCAGCCGC